Molecule: long non-coding RNA, 2521 nt
Filed under: Daucus carota (carrot)
Lineage: Eukaryota; Viridiplantae; Streptophyta; Magnoliopsida; Apiales; Apiaceae
Description: long non-coding RNA (DCAR_LNC006366)
Source: RNAcentral
AAUAGUUGAAUGAAUGAAAAUAAUAAAUAAUCUCGCUAUGAACAGACGAGAGAAAAGAACACAGCCAGAAGAGAGAUCACUACAUUUUUCAUUUCAUAUUUCUGAAAGCCCAUUAUAGGCAUUCUUCCGGGCUGAUAAAGAUUACAGACUUGUUAUGUAACGUAUCUGGGCUCAAAUUUAUUUUGUCAACCAGGCGUCCAGGCCGGCAAAUAUCAACAUGUGUCCACAAUCGCCGGAAUGGAAAUCUAGAAAUUCAUCGGAUAAUAACAUUUCCCGCCAUAUCCAGCGACUUCUUAUUUUUUUUGAUAAAAAGGAAUCAAUUCAUUAAUUAAAAGCCAUACGGCAUCUACAAAUAUAAUCGAAAUUGGACAGACGCCGAAUAAUAUCGCUGUUGAAUCCUUUCUUCUUGAAGAGGCAACUAAGCGAUUUGAAGAUGAUUUGAAUAUACACACUUGUUUCCAUCUGAUUGGUUUUCACCUGAAUGUUCUGAACAAUCGACCAUAGAUGCGAUCCCAUAAUAACCUUCAAACCUGAAUCAAACCCAUGAAAAUCAUGCCGAUCUAUAACCUCGGUCAUGAAAAACAUAAAAACACACCAAAACAAAACAAACCAACUCUCACAAGAAGGAGAGACUAACAAAACCCAAAUAAAUUGGGAACUUAUUGAAUAGAAAAUAAGAUUUCAAAAUAAGAAAGUAGAAGAAAAGAAAUCGGGGCUUUCCACCGGUGGAAACCGAUGGAAGCCCCUUCAAAAAUAUGUGAUGGAGGCUAGGGUUUUGAGAGAGAGUGGGAGAAAAAGAACGGAGAGAUCCAGCGACUUACUUCUUAUUGCUGAGUAUUUAUAUUCAGCAAUUUUUUCACUGACAGUGUAACUUUUAAUAAUCAUUCAACGUUUUUCAAUAUUGGACAACUGUAUAGUUAAAUAACCAAACUAUCCUCAUCCCUCGUAAAAUUCUAGAAUAAUCAUUUUACUUCCAUUAUAAUCAAAAACUUGUAAUGAACCCAUAGAAAAAUCGUAAUCGUAUUAAAAUAUCACAUACAAAAGUUUUAGGGGCCGUUUGAGUGAAUUUAAAAUAAGUGAUUCUUGCGUAAAAAAAUUGAAGUCUUAAACUCACAUUUAGGUAAUGUGUCAAAAAAUGCACUCCAACACUAUCAUAGUGUUAUCCUAAAUCACUAGCACAACCUUAAUUCUCCUAGCCAUUAGAGCAUCUCCAAUGGUGCUCUUAAGUCACUCUUCAAAAUAUAAUAUAAUAUUUGGCUCCUAGUGAGUUAAGACGUUGAAAAAGAUUUCAACUCCAAUGCUCUUCUUUAUACUUGCUCCUUAUUCAUAUUUUAUUCAUAUAAAAGAGAGAGAAAAGUAAAAAGAGAGAAUUGUUGGGAGUAAAGUUGGAGGGAAACCAAUAUUAUAUUCAUGAAAAAGAAGUUAAGAGCUCUUACAUGCUCUUUAAAAGAGAGGAGAGAUGUUAAGCUCUUAAUUUUUUAAAGAGCUUCUAAGAGCCCAUUGGAGCUCUAAUUCUUGCAUUGCUCUUUAAAUUUGAAGUUAAAAGCUCAUUUAGAGAGCCCCUUGGAGAUGCUCUUACCUAUUUAUAAGUAACCCCUAGCCAUUACCUAUUUAAUAUUUAUGAAUAAAAUAAUCUUCUUUCUCUUUUUUCUUUGUCUAUUCUCUCUUUUUCACCUUUUCUCUCUCAAAUUUAUUAUUAAAAUAAUCUUAGGAGAACAAAAAUAAGGAUUACUAUUGGAGUUGACACUAAAAAUAGAUUACCUUAUUGCGUGAGCUCGUGGGUUUACCCAGUGCGCACCCGAAGGGUAGCAGCUGCGGGUUCCUACGUUAAAAAAAAAUAAAGAAAAAUAAAUAGAUUACCUAAAUCACUAAGACAUACUGACACUCAUUAUUUUAUAUUAUUUAUUUUAUAUUAUUUAUAAGUAAUAGGAUAGGUAACCUAUUGGACUUGCUCUUAGAAGUUAGUUAAAGCUGGUAAGUGAUUAAAAUGUUUGGGAAAAAGGUAGGAGCUAUGAAACAAAAAUUAGGAAUCCAGUGAUUAAAAUGUUUGGGAAAAAGGUAGGAGCUAUGAAACAAAAGUUAGGAAUCCUAAUUUUUUAUAAGUGCUUCUCGAUUUUUUACACAAACGAUACGAAUAAGUUCUUCUAACUUAAAACUAUUGAAACCAAACACCCACGUAGUAUUAUAAUAACACAAAAAUGAUCUUGAUCAACUCACCACAAAGAAAAAAAGAACAAAAUCAGAUUGUUCGGCGGCAUGCACUUGCUCCUCUUUUCUAACGAACGCAUGAACCUCGUCAAGUAAACUCAUAACAAGACCAAACAUGAAACAACACCUAUAAGACUCAAAAACGUGUUAGAAAUAGUGUGUGAUCACAAUUUAGAACAGAACAAUCCGAACAGAUGAUGGAAAUUUACGUUAUUAUUUUAGCAUUGAAAAUUCGGAAGUUGAAGACUCCAGUCGUCAAACGUUGCAAGUGCAGCAUUAUCCUUGACGUAGUGCCAUGUUUGGCGUAAACCAU